This 547-nucleotide ribosomal RNA is filed under the name Plagusia dentipes. RNAcentral's name for it is "partial 16S ribosomal RNA". It matches the Rfam family "Bacterial large subunit ribosomal RNA", at positions 1831 to 2625 of the family's 2925-position model. Lineage: Eukaryota; Metazoa; Arthropoda; Malacostraca; Decapoda; Plagusiidae. The record is from RNAcentral.
GUCUGUUUGUAGUUAUAAAGAGUUUAACCUGCCCACUGAUAAAAAUUUAAAGGCCGCAGUAUUCUGACUGUGCAAAGGUAGCAUAAUCGUUAGUUCCCUAAUUAGGAUCUUGUAUGAAUGGUUGGACAAAAGGAAAUCUGUCUUUAUGUUUAUUUUUGAAUUUAACUUUUAAGUGAAAAGGCUUAAAUAGAUUAAGGGGACGAUAAGACCCUAUAAAACUUGAUGUAUAACAUUAUAUAUAACUAAAUCUUAAUUUUAAAAGUUUAAUAUGUGUGUAUUUUAUGUUGGGGUGACAAAAGUAAAAAUAUAAUUAACUGCUUAAUAAUUAAAUCAAAUAUAAAUGAGUAUUAUUAGAUGAUCCUAUAUAAAGAUUAUAAGUUUAAGUUACUUUAGGGAUAACAGCGUUAUUUUUUUUAAGAGUUCUUAUCGAAAAAAAAGUUUGCGACCUCGAUGUUGAAUUAAAAUAUCUAUAUAAUUGUAGCAGUUAUAGUAGAAGGUCUGUUCGACCUUUAAAUUUUUACAUGAUUUGAGUUCAAACCGGCGUGAG